GAUGAACGCUGGCGGCGUGCCUAAUACAUGCAAGUCGAGCGAACAGACGAGGAGCUUGCUCCUCUGACGUUAGCGGCGGACGGGUGAGUAACACGUGUAUAACCUACCUAUAAUACUGGGAUAACUUCGGGAAACCGGAGCUAAUACCGUAUAAUAUAUUGAACCGCAUUGUUCAAUAGUGAAAGACGGUUUUGCUGUCACUUAUAGAUGGAUCCGCGCCGCAUUAGCUAGUUGGUAAGGUAACGGCUUACCAAGGCAACGAUGCGUAGCCGACGUGAGAGGGUGGUCGGCCACCCUGGAACUGAGACACGGUCCAGACUACUACGGGAGGCAGCAGUAGGGAAUCUUACGCAGUGGGCGAAAGCAUGACGGAGCAACGCCGCGUGAGUGAUGAAGGUCUUCGGAUCGUAAAACUCUGUUAUUAGGGAAGAACAAAUGUGUAAGUAACUAUGCACGUCUUGACGGUAACUAAUAAGAAAGCCACGGCUAACUACGUG
This 497-nucleotide ribosomal RNA is filed under the name uncultured bacterium. RNAcentral's name for it is "partial 16S ribosomal RNA". It matches the Rfam family "Bacterial small subunit ribosomal RNA", at positions 28 to 507 of the family's 1533-position model. The record is from RNAcentral.